UAAGUUCAUAUCUAACUUUUUUUAAUAAUACCGUGAUAAACAAAUAGACAAUAAUAAUGCUAUUUUUAGCAUAGUGCGAAUGACCCGCGUUCGAAGUGUAAGGUCAUAAAAAUAGUGGAAUGAGAUAGUGUUCCACAACCAAGAGCCGUCUCAGUAAGCAGCUUAACAGGAGAAACCACUGAUAUUUACGAUCCCCCAUACGUAGUCCUACAUCGAUGUGGUCAAUCUGGCUGCUGUCCUAGCGAAGAACAGAGUUGUCGACCAGACAAAACAGUCACCGUAGAAUUGGAAGUCAAAACAUGGAUGGAUGAGCCAUUAAUAAUAAGAGCAAAAAAUCACACGUCCUGUGCUUGUCUGGACACUGCUGGACCCAUUAAAUAAAUAGAUUGUGUAAUUUAUUAUCGAAAGCAUCCGUUUAAAGUGCAAAUGGUUCCUAGAAUAGCAACUGAUAUUAUGACGUACGGAUAUUCUUUAUACAUGGUGUUGGUUGGUACAAAAAGUUCGCUGGGAUAGGGAAAGUUUCCUAUUUUUUACUGUUGGAGUGAAGUAAUUCCGCAUAAAACUUGAUUCAAUUACUCAGUUAUAUUUUUUACGUUUGUUGCGAACUUUAUGCUGCACCCUGUAUAUCACCUUGACUUAUAGAAAAAUAGUAUUAUGAUUUUUUGUUUUUUUAUCGUUAUAUUUGCUAGAUUUUAGUAUAUUAUUUAUUUUUUAUUUAUAUAAAAAUGUUACUUUAAUUACUGAGUUACUGAUCUCCAAGUCAUCUUAGGUUUUAUAUUAUAAAAAUAAAAAAAAAAUAUCCAGGUGCAUUAUUAGAACUCUUUAUCAGCUUUGCCAUAAUUUAAUGAAAUAAUACGUAGUUAUAGUUAAUAAUAAACAUAUAAAAUUAAUUAUUUUCAAAAUGUAUCGAUAUUUUCAGAUAUCAAAAAUUUUCAAAAAGAUUUGUUGUGUUAAAACUUCAAGAACAUUACGCAAAUUAACGAUGGUUUUUGACUAGUUUGCGAACUAAAUUCAUGGUAUUUAGAUAAAGUUUGAACUUAAUAUUCUAUAUAAUAUCAUAAUAACCUAAUAACCAUCUCUUUGGUUAAUAGAACUAACCAAUUACAAUUAGAUAAUUUCUAACGUGUAUGACAAAUGUUGUGCGUUGUAUUGUGAACUGUUUAUACCUUCUGAAAUCUCUUGAAAUAUGCUUGAAUCUGGUUAUUACAAAGUGAUUAAUGAUGAUUCAAAUAAAUAAAUGAAAAAUCUAUUUUUGCAAGUUUACAAAUUACUGGUAGAAUUCAGAAUUAAUUAAAGAUUGUAAUUAUUACAGUUACAGUUUAUAUAUGAACAUUUUAAUUGUAAAUAUACAUCCUUUAACAUAUCAUACUGUUAUAAAACUAAUAGUUAUCUAUACAAUACCCUUAAAUUAUAGUAUAUGUAUUUUGUGAUACAUCUUUCUAUAUGAACUUGUGUCUUACCUUGUGUGAUUACACAUGGUAAGACACGACUUAAGUAGUAAGUUGGGUAGUAAAGUAAGACUUACUUAGUUUCUAUAUAAACUUGUUACUUACUUGUGUGAUUAGAUAUUAAUAAUUUUAUGUAUUAUGUAAAUAUACCAAAGACAAUCUUGAAGAUUUUCUAAGAUUGAAAUGUGACUAUUUUUAUUAAAUAUUAAAUUAUUGUGUUUGUGGAAGUUUUAAACUAGCAAUAAUGUGUGUGGCAUAUAGAUGUUAGUAAUUGUUGUUUGUUUCUAUUUAUUUCUAGUAUUAGGUAAUUUAUUCUGUUUUGUAUUUUGUAAUA
Molecule: unclassified non-coding RNA, 1782 nt
Filed under: Sitophilus oryzae (rice weevil)
Lineage: Eukaryota; Metazoa; Arthropoda; Insecta; Coleoptera; Curculionidae
Description: snake venom vascular endothelial growth factor toxin barietin-like, transcript variant X1
Source: RNAcentral